This 94-nucleotide small nuclear RNA is filed under the name Peromyscus maniculatus bairdii (prairie deer mouse). Lineage: Eukaryota; Metazoa; Chordata; Mammalia; Rodentia; Cricetidae. The record is from RNAcentral.
CUGCUCAGCAGCACACAUACUAAAAUUGGAAUAAGAUUAGCAUGGUCCCUAUGACCAUGAUGACAUGUAAGUUCAUGAAGGGUCCCAACCUUAA